This 254-nucleotide ribosomal RNA is filed under the name uncultured bacterium. RNAcentral describes it as "partial 16S ribosomal RNA". It matches the Rfam family "Bacterial small subunit ribosomal RNA", at positions 524 to 776 of the family's 1533-position model. The record is from RNAcentral.
UACGGGGGGGGCAAGCGUUGUUCGGAAUUACUGGGCGUAAAGGGCUCGUAGGCGGCCAACUAAGUCGGACGUGAAAUCCCUCGGCUUAACCGGGGAACUGCGUCCGAUACUGGAUGGCUUGAGUUCGGGAGAGGGAUGCGGAAUUCCAGGUGUAGCGGUGAAAUGCGUAGAUAAUCUGGAGGAACACCGGUGGCGAAGGCGGCAUCCUGGACCGACACUGACGCUGAGGAGCGAAAGCCAGGGGAGCAAACGGG